AGUGAACGCUGGCGGCAUGCCUAAUACAUGCAAGUCGAACGGAAGCACAGUAAGAUUUCGCCUCUACCGGUGGCGAGUGGCGGACGGGUGAGGCAUACAUAGGCUACUUCUAUUUCGUGGGUGACAUCGCAGGAAAGCUGACGCUAACACCGCAUAUGUUCUACGGCUGAAAGCAGUGGAUCUUCGGACCUUUCGCGACUGAUUGAGCUGAUGUCGGAUUAGCUAGUUGGCGAGGUAAAGGCCCACCAAGGCGACGAUCCGUAGCUGGUCUGAGAGGAUGAUCGGCCACACUGGAACUGAGACACGGUCCAGACUCCUACGGGAGGCAGCAGUAGGGAAUCUUGGGCAAUGGGCGAAAGCCUGAUCCAGCAAUGCCGCGUGAGUGAUGAAGGCCUUCGGAUCGUAAAACCCUGUUAUUAGGGAAGAACAACUGCGGAAUUAACCACGGAUGUCCUGACGGUACCCAAUGAGAAAGCACCGGCUAACUACGUG
Molecule: ribosomal RNA, 492 nt
Filed under: uncultured bacterium
Lineage: Bacteria
Description: partial 16S ribosomal RNA
Rfam family: Bacterial small subunit ribosomal RNA
Source: RNAcentral